RNAcentral lists this ribosomal RNA (253 nucleotides) under uncultured bacterium. RNAcentral describes it as "partial 16S ribosomal RNA". It matches the Rfam family "Bacterial small subunit ribosomal RNA", at positions 524 to 776 of the family's 1533-position model. The record is from RNAcentral.
UACGGAAGGGGCGAGCGUUGUUCGGAAUCAUUGGGCGUAAAGGGCGCGUAGGUGGUUUUGUAUGUCUACCGUGAAAGCGUACGGCUCAACCGUAUUUAGUCGGUAGAAACUGCAGGACUUGAGGCUGGGAGGGGCUGGUGGAAUUCCCUGUGUAGCGGUGAAAUGCGUAGAGAUGGGGGAGAACACUCGUGGCGAAGGCGGCCAGCUGGACCAGUUCUGACACUGAGGCGCGAUAGCGUGGGGAGCAAACAGG